GAUGAACGCUGGCGGCGUGCUUAACACAUGCAAGUCGAACGAAGCACUUUUAAUUCUUCGGAAGAGGAAGUGACUGAGUGGCGGACGGGUGAGUAACGCGUGGGUAACCUGCCUUAUACAGGGGGAUAACAGUUAGAAAUGACUGCUAAUACCGCAUAAGCCGAUAGAGUCGCAUGACUUAGUCGGAAAAGAUUUAUCGGUAUAAGAUGGACCCGCGUCUGAUUAGCUAGUUGGUGAGGUAAUGGCCCACCAAGGCGACGAUCAGUAGCCGGCUUGAGAGAGUGAACGGCCACAUUGGGACUGAGACACGGCCCAAACUCCUACGGGAGGCAGCUGUGGGGAAUAUUGCACAAUGGGGGAAACCCUGAUGCAGCAACGCCGCGUGAAGGAAGAAGUAUUUCGGUAUGUAAACUUCUAUCAGCAGGGAAGAAAAUGACGGUACCUGACUAAGAAGCCCCGGCUAACUACGUGCCAGCCGCCGCAGUAA
This 487-nucleotide ribosomal RNA is filed under the name uncultured bacterium. RNAcentral's name for it is "partial 16S ribosomal RNA". It matches the Rfam family "Bacterial small subunit ribosomal RNA", at positions 28 to 523 of the family's 1533-position model. The record is from RNAcentral.